Molecule: ribosomal RNA, 501 nt
Filed under: uncultured bacterium
Lineage: Bacteria
Description: partial 16S ribosomal RNA
Rfam family: Bacterial small subunit ribosomal RNA
Source: RNAcentral
AUUGAACGCUGGCGGCAUGCCUUACACAUGCAAGUCGAACGGCAGCACGGGUGCUUGCACCUGGUGGCGAGUGGCGAACGGGUGAGUAAUACAUCGGAACGUACCUUAUCGUGGGGGAUAACGCAGCGAAAGCUGUGCUAAUACCGCAUACGCCCUGAGGGGGAAAGCGGGGGAUCGCAAGACCUCGCGCGAUUAGAGCGGCCGAUGCCUGAUUAGCUAGUUGGUGGGGUAAAAGCCCACCAAGGCGACGAUCAGUAGCUGGUCUGAGAGGACGAUCAGCCACACGGGGACUGAGACACGGCCCAGACUCCUACGGGAGGCAGCAGUGGGGAAUUUUGGACAAUGGGGGCAACCCUGAUCCAGCAAUGCCGCGUGAGUGAAGAAGGCCUUCGGGUUGUAAAGCUCUUUUGUCAGGGAAGAAACACCGGCUCUAACACAGUCCGGGAAUGACGGUACCUGAAGAAUAAGCACCGGCUAACUACGUACCAGCCGCCGCCGUAA